This 440-nucleotide ribosomal RNA is filed under the name uncultured bacterium. Its description in RNAcentral is "partial 16S ribosomal RNA". It matches the Rfam family "Bacterial small subunit ribosomal RNA", at positions 338 to 795 of the family's 1533-position model. The record is from RNAcentral.
CCUACGGGAGGCAGCAGUAGGGAAUAUUGCUCAAUGGGGGAAACGCUGAAGCAGCAAAGCCGCGUGGAGGAUGAAGGUUUUCGGAUUGUUAACUCCUUUUGUUCGAGAAGCUAAUGACUGUAUCUAAGGACUAAGCACCGGCUAACUCCGUGCCAGCAGCCGCGGUAAUACGGAGGGUACAAGCGUUACUCGGAAUCACGGGGCGUAAAGAGAGCGUAGGCGGGAUAGCAAGUCAGAUGUGAAAUCCUAGGGCUUAACCAUAGAACUGCAUUUGAAACUGUGAUUAUAGAGUAUGGGAGAGGUAGGUGGAAUGCUUGGUGUAGGGGUAAAAUCCGUAGAGAUCAAGAGGAAUACUCAUUGCGAAGGCGACCUGCUAGAACAUAACUGACGCUGAUGCGCGAAAGCGUGGGGAGCAAACAGGAUUAGAUACCCCAGUAGUC